UACGAAGGGGGCUAGCGUUGUUCGGAUUUACUGGGCGUAAAGCGCACGUAGGCGGAUCUUUAAGUCAGAGGUGAAAUCCCAAGGCUCAACCUUGGAACUGCCUUUGAUACUGGGGAUCUCGAGUUCGGGAGAGGUGAGUGGAACUGCGAGUGUAGAGGUGAAAUUCGUAGAUAUUCGCAAGAACACCAGUGGCGAAGGCGGCUCACUGGUCCGGUACUGACGCUGAGGUGCGAAAGCGUGGGGAGCAAACAGG
RNAcentral lists this ribosomal RNA (253 nucleotides) under uncultured bacterium. Its description in RNAcentral is "partial 16S ribosomal RNA". It matches the Rfam family "Bacterial small subunit ribosomal RNA", at positions 524 to 776 of the family's 1533-position model. The record is from RNAcentral.